RNAcentral lists this ribosomal RNA (254 nucleotides) under uncultured bacterium. RNAcentral describes it as "partial 16S ribosomal RNA". It matches the Rfam family "Bacterial small subunit ribosomal RNA", at positions 524 to 776 of the family's 1533-position model. The record is from RNAcentral.
UACGGGGGGAGCAAGCGUUGUUCGGAUUUACUGGGCAUAAAGGGCGCGUAGGCGGUCAGCACAAGUCAGUUGUGAAAUCUCCGGGCUUAACUCGGAAAGGUCAACUGAUACUGUGCGACUAGAGUGCGGAAGGGGCAACUGGAAUUCUCGGUGUAGCGGUGAAAUGCGUAGAUAUCGAGAGGAACACCUGCGGCGAAGGCGGGUUGCUGGGCUGAUACUGACGCUGAGGCGCGAAAGCCAGGGGAGCGAACGGG